GAGGUUAGCCGGUGCYUCUUCUUAAGGUAACGUCAAAAASCMGAGGUAUUAACCCYGSACUUUUCUUCCCCACYGAAAGUGCUUUACAACCCGCAGGCCUUCUUCACACACGCGGCGUCGCUGGAUCAGGGUUUCCCCCAUUGUCCAAUAUUCCCCACUGCUGCCUCCCGUAGGAGUCUGGGCCGUGUCUCAGUCCCAGUGUGGCUGGUCGGUCCUCUCAGACCCAUGCUACAGGAUCUGUCGCCUUGGUGGGCCGUUCCCCCUC
Molecule: ribosomal RNA, 265 nt
Filed under: uncultured beta proteobacterium
Lineage: Bacteria; Pseudomonadati; Pseudomonadota; Betaproteobacteria
Description: partial 16S ribosomal RNA
Source: RNAcentral